This 459-nucleotide ribosomal RNA is filed under the name uncultured bacterium. Its description in RNAcentral is "bacterial SSU rRNA". It matches the Rfam family "Bacterial small subunit ribosomal RNA", at positions 28 to 473 of the family's 1533-position model. The record is from RNAcentral.
GAUGAACGCUAGCUACAGGCUUAACACAUGCAAGUCGAGGGGAAACGACAUCGGAAGCUUGCUUUUGAUGGGCGUCGACCGGCGCACGGGUGAGUAACGCGUAUCCAACCUGCCCACCACUUGGGGAUAACCUUGCGAAAGUAAGACUAAUACCCAAUGACGUCUCUAGAAGACAUCUGAAAGAGAUUAAAGAUUUAUCGGUGAUGGAUGGGGAUGCGUCUGAUUAGCUUGUUGGCGGGGUAACGGCCCACCUAGCCGACGAUGGGUAGGGGUUCUGAGAGGAAGGUCCCCCCACAUUGGAACUGAGACACGGUCCAAAACUCCUACGGGAGCAGCAGUGAGGAAUAUUGGUCAAUGGGCGAGAGCCUGAACCAGCCAAGUAGCGUGCAGGACGACGGCCCUAUGGGUUGUAAACUGCUUUUANAAGGGAAUAAAGUGGGUCACGUGUGACUUUUUGCA